CGCACAGUAAACGAUGAAUACUAACUGUUUGCGAUACACAGCAAGUGGUACAGUGAAAACGUUAAGUAUUCCACCUGGGGAGUACGCCGGCAACGGUGAAACUCAAAGGAAUUGACGGGG
Molecule: ribosomal RNA, 120 nt
Filed under: uncultured bacterium
Lineage: Bacteria
Description: partial 16S ribosomal RNA
Rfam family: Bacterial small subunit ribosomal RNA
Source: RNAcentral